CGCAGUCCCUGAGAGGGAGAAAUUCUGAGUUGCGCCUCUUAUUCCCAUUCUCUGCCUGGAGCCGCAUCUUAACAUGGCACAAGGGUCAGAGUCCACGCUAAGCAAGACGUCUGCUGAGCUGUGGAGGCAGAGAUCAGCAUCGGAGCAUCUCAAGAGGCUGGAAUUCACAGAGGAGGACCCCAACAGGAGAGAACCGCAUAGAGGACCAGUGAUGCCAUUUGGCAUGGAAACUUGCAGCACGGCAAAGGAUGAUAGGAAACGGAAUGCACUGAGAAAACAGCGUGACUAGCUGGAAGCUACUCAGAUGCUAGGCCAGUUUGGGCCAGUGUGAUGCCUUCUGUACCAAGACAGCAGUAGAGGGUUUUAAUAUCCACCAGUAUGAGGAUUGUGGCCCUGCAAAGGAUAUCACCUGAGCAGCCUCAUGG
Non-coding RNA from Macaca mulatta (Rhesus monkey), 425 nucleotides. Lineage: Eukaryota; Metazoa; Chordata; Mammalia; Primates; Cercopithecidae. The record is from RefSeq and is a predicted model, not a curated record.